UUCCCCUAAAAGUUCCCAUGAUAUUGAGGUGAGAGAGUUUUAUGAAAACGACCUCUAGUGGCCUAGAUCCAUCUUAUCGUCUCACCAUUGUGUGUAAAAGGAAAAGCUCUCGUUAUUACAGGAUAGUGGCCGGUACUCGCGCAGACGACUGUGUCUCAGCUUCCUGUUUAAGCCGACAUGGGCAACUCGUGUAUGACCUGCUGCAGGCGAAAGUCUGAACAGACCGGAGAUGAAGUGGAAACAGGUCUGAAGGACCCUAAAACAGAUGUCAACAACACGGUUCAACGAGCGGCAGGUCAGACAAAAGCUGAUGUCCUUCCACGAUCUUCCAG
Long non-coding RNA from Pomacea canaliculata, 332 nucleotides. RefSeq lists it as uncharacterized. The transcript has 4 exons. The record is from RefSeq and is a predicted model, not a curated record. NCBI's taxonomy places the organism in Eukaryota, Metazoa, Mollusca, Gastropoda, Architaenioglossa, Ampullariidae.